This 133-nucleotide ribosomal RNA is filed under the name uncultured eukaryote. RNAcentral's name for it is "partial 18S ribosomal RNA". It matches the Rfam family "Eukaryotic small subunit ribosomal RNA", at positions 1299 to 1458 of the family's 1831-position model. The record is from RNAcentral.
UCGUGGAUUAAUUUGUCAGGUUAAUUCCGUUAACGAACGAGACUUUAACUGACUAGUUAGAUUCUAAUAUUUAUAUUGGUUUCUUCUAGUAGGACCAUGUGUGCUUAACAUAGGGAAGCGUGAAGCAAUAACA